UCCGGUUUGUCACCGGCAGUCUCGCAUGAGUCCCCAACUAAAUGCUGGCAACAUACGACGGGGGUUGCGCUCGUUGCGGGACUUAACCCAACAUCUCACGACACGAGCUGACGACAGCCAUGCACCACCUGUGAAAGUGCCCCGAAGGGAAGCGGUGUUUCCACCGCGGUCACUCACAUGUCAAACCCAGGUAAGGUUCUUCGCGUUGCGUCGAAUUAAACCACAUGCUCCACUGCUUGUGCGGGCCCCCGUCAAUUCUUUUGAGUUUCACCCUUGCGAGCGUACUCCUCAGGUGGCAUACUUAACGCGUUAGCUCCGAAACAGAAAGGGUUGAGCCUUCCUACUUCUAGUAUGCAUCGUUUACGGCUAGGACUAC
Molecule: unclassified non-coding RNA, 376 nt
Filed under: uncultured bacterium
Lineage: Bacteria
Description: contains 16S-23S intergenic spacer region
Source: RNAcentral